RNAcentral lists this ribosomal RNA (507 nucleotides) under uncultured bacterium. Its description in RNAcentral is "bacterial SSU rRNA". It matches the Rfam family "Bacterial small subunit ribosomal RNA", at positions 1 to 524 of the family's 1533-position model. The record is from RNAcentral.
ACAUACGCGUAGAGUUUGAUCCUGGCUCAGGACGAACGCUGGCGGCGUGGAUUAGGCAUGCAAGUCGAGCGACGGACCUUCGGGUUACGGAGCGGCGAACGGGUGAGGAACACGUGAACAACCUACCCCAUUGUUCCGGAUAAUUGGUCGAAAGACCUUGUAAUACGGGCGAGAAUCCAGAUGAGGCAUCUUGAUUGGAUUGAACAAGCAAUUGGCACUGGGAGGGGUUCGCGGCUUAUCAGGUAGUUGGUGAGGUAACGGCUCACCAAGCCUACGACGAGUAGCUGGUCUGAGAGGAUGGUCAGCCACAUUGGAACUGAGACACUGUCCAGACUCCUACGGGAGGCUGCAGUCGAGAAUCUUGGGCAAUGCACGAAAGUGUGACCCAGCGACGCCGCGUGAAGGAUGAAGGCCCUCUGGGUUGUAAACUUCUUUUACGGGAGAAGAAGAUCUGACGGUAUCCCGUGAAUAAGCCACGGCUAACUACGUGCCAGCCGCCGCGGUAAU